RNAcentral lists this ribosomal RNA (859 nucleotides) under uncultured bacterium. RNAcentral's name for it is "SSU rRNA". It matches the Rfam family "Bacterial small subunit ribosomal RNA", at positions 524 to 1381 of the family's 1533-position model. The record is from RNAcentral.
UACGGGGGGGACAAGCGUUGUUCGGAUUUACUGGGCGUAAAGGGCGCGUAGGCGGACCUUCAAGUCGGGUGUGAAAACCGGCGGCUCAACUGCCGGCCUGCAUUCGAGACUGUCGGUCUUGAGUACAUGAGAGGAAGGCGGAAUUCCAGGUGUAGCGGUGAAAUGCGUAGAUAUCUGGAAGAACACCAGUAGCGAAGGCGGCCUUCUGGCGUGAUACUGACGCUGAAGCGCGAAGGCUAGGGGAGCAAACAGGAUUAGAUACCCUGGUAGUCCUAGCGGUAAACGAUGGGUACUAGGUGUCGGAGGUAUUGACCCCUUCGGUGCCGCAGCUAACGCAUUAAGUACCCCGCCUGGGGAGUACGGUCGCAAGAUUGAAACUCAAAGGAAUUGACGGGGGCCCGCACAAGCGGUGGAGUAUGUGGUUUAAUUCGAGGCAACGCGAAGAACCUUACCUGGGUUUGACAUGCUUGAGACAACCGGUGAAAGCCGGUUUUCCCUUCGGGGACUCUUGCACAGGUGCUGCAUGGCUGUCGUCAGCUCGUGCCGUGAGGUGUUGGGUUAAGUCCCGCAACGAGCGCAACCCUUGUCCAUAGUUGCCAUCAGGUUAUGCUGGGGACUCUAUGGAGACUGCCGGUGAUAAGCUGGAGGAAGGUGGGGAUGACGUCAAGUCCUCAUGGCCCUUACACCCAGGGCUACACACGUACUACAAUGGUCGGUACAGAAGGUUGCAAGACCGCAAGGUGGAGCUAAUCCUGAAAACCGGCCUCAGUUCAGAUUGGAGUCUGCAACUCGACUCCAUGAAGGAGGAAUCGCUAGUAAUCGCUGAUCAGCAGGCAGCGGUGAAUACGUUCCCGGGCCU